CUUUGAUUUCAUGCAAAGGAAGCAGGAGCUGCAGGAUCAUGUGGAAUACUUUCAUGGAGAAAUCCUGACACUGAAGACACAAGGAUGUCUUGGCCCGCUCUGUACACUCAGUUGGUCGGGGCGAA
Neolamprologus brichardi is the source of this 125-nucleotide non-coding RNA. Lineage: Eukaryota; Metazoa; Chordata; Actinopteri; Cichliformes; Cichlidae. The record is from RefSeq and is a predicted model, not a curated record.